RNAcentral lists this ribosomal RNA (1390 nucleotides) under uncultured bacterium. RNAcentral's name for it is "partial 16S ribosomal RNA". It matches the Rfam family "Bacterial small subunit ribosomal RNA". The record is from RNAcentral.
GAAUUCGCCCUUAGAGUUUGAUCCUGGCUCAGGAUGAACGCUGGCGGCGUGCUUAACACAUGCAAGUCGAACGAUGACUUUUGUGCUUGCACAAAAUGAUUAGUGGCGAACGGGUGAGUAACACGUGAGUAACCUGCCCUUAACUUCGGGAUAAGCCUGGGAAACCGGGUCUAAUACCGGAUACGACGGAUUCCCGCAUGGGGGUCCGUGGAAAGCUUGAUGCGGUUUUGGAUGGACUCGCGGCCUAUCAGCUAGUUGGUUGGGGUAAUGGCCCACCAAGGCGACGACGGGUAGCCGGCCUGAGAGGGUGACCGGCCACACUGGGACUGAGACACGGCCCAGACUCCUACGGGAGGCAGCAGUGGGGAAUAUUGCACAAUGGGCGAAAGCCUAAUGCAGCGACGCCGCGUGAGGGACGAAGGCCUUCGGGUUGUAAACCUCUUUCAGCAGGGAAGAAGCGAAAGUGACGGUACCUGCAGAAGAAGCGCCGGCUAACUACGUGCCAGCAGCCGCGGUAAUACGUAGGUGGCAAGCGUUAUCCGGAAUUAUUGGGCGUAAAGCGCGCGCAGGUGGUUCCUUAAGUCUGAUGUGAAAGCCCCCGGCUCAACCGGGGAGGGUCAUUGGAAACUGGGGAACUUGAGUGUAGAAGAGGAAAGUGGAAUUCCACGUGUAGCGGUGAAAUGCGUAGAGAUGUGGAGGAACACCAGUGGCGAAGGCGACUUUCUGGUCUAUAACUGACACUGAGGCGCGAAAGCGUGGGGAGCAAACAGGAUUAGAUACCCUGGUAGUCCACGCCGUAAACGAUGAGUGCUAAGUGUUAGAGGGUUUCCGCCCUUUAGUGCUGCAGCUAACGCAUUAAGCACUCCGCCUGGGGAGUACGGCCGCAAGGCUGAAACUCAAAGGAAUUGACGGGAGCCCGCACAAGCAGUGGAGUAUGUGGUUUAAUUCGACGCAACGCGAAGAACCUUACCAGGACUUGACAUCCUAGGAACCCGGCGUAAUGGCUGGGGUGCCCUUCGGGGAAUCUAGAGACAGGUGGUGCAUGGUUGUCGUCAGCUCGUGUCGUGAGAUGUUGGGUUAAGUCCCGCAACGAGCGCAACCCUUAUGUUCAGUUGCUACGCAAGAGCACUCUGGACAGACUGCCGUUGACAAAACGGAGGAAGGCGGGGACGACGUCAAAUCAUCAUGCCCCUUACGUUCUGGGCUACACACGCACUACAAUGGCGUUUAACAGAGGGGAGCAAAGCCGCGAGGCAGAGCAAAUCCCAAAAAAACGUCCCAGUUCAGACUGCAGGCUGCAACUCGCCUGCACGAAGUUGGAAUUGCUAGUAAUCGCAGGUCAGCAUACUGCGGUGAAUACGUUCCCGGGCUUUGCACUCACCGCCCGUCA